GGAUGUGAGGGCAACCUGGCUGUGACCUCUGUCACCCAUUGGUCGCCAGGGUUGACUGGGCUGUCCUGGCUGGCUAGGCGGGACUCCCCUUCCUCCCUCCCUGCUCCGUGUGCAACCCUCAUGAAGCUGCGCGCUCUGUCGAAGGGGACGACCAUCCCCAAUAGAGGAGGACCUUUCCUCAGUCAAGGGUGUAGGAGUAGCUGCGCUCCCCCUGCUGGAAGCUCUAAACAAGCUCUCAGGGUCCAUAUAUGUGCACAUACUUAGAAACAAAGAAGCCAAAUAGCAGUGGAGUUAAAGGUUGAAAGAUCUGAUGCUG
This 316-nucleotide small nuclear RNA is filed under the name Chinchilla lanigera (long-tailed chinchilla). Its description in RNAcentral is "7SK RNA (ENSCLAG00000021678.1)". It matches the Rfam family "7SK RNA". From Rfam's summary of the family: 7SK was discovered as an abundant small nuclear RNA in the mid-70s but a possible function has only recently been suggested. Two independent studies have found that 7SK RNA binds the CDK9/cyclin T complex (known as elongation factor P-TEFb). Lineage: Eukaryota; Metazoa; Chordata; Mammalia; Rodentia; Chinchillidae. The record is from RNAcentral.